UGUUAGUGCACCGGCGGCUCGCCCGAAU
Molecule: small RNA, 28 nt
Filed under: Bombyx mori (domestic silkworm)
Lineage: Eukaryota; Metazoa; Arthropoda; Insecta; Lepidoptera; Bombycidae
Description: ovarian small RNA-36030
Source: RNAcentral